GACGAACGCUGGCGGCGUGCUUAACACAUGCAAGUCGAACGGAAAGGCCCUGCUUUUGUGGGGUGCUCGAGUGGCGAACGGGAGAGUAACACGUGAGUAACCUGCCCUUGACUUUGGGAUAACGUCAGGAAACUGGGGCUAAUACCGGAUAGGAGCUCCUGCUGCAUGGUGGGGGUUGGAAAGUUUCGGCGGUUGGGGAUGGACUCGCGGCUUAUCAGCUUGUUGGUGGGGUAGUGGCUUACCAAGGCUUUGACGGGUAGCCGGCCUGAGAGGGUGACCGGCCACAUUGGGACUGAGAUACGGCCCAGACUCCUACGGGAGGCAGCAGUGGGGAAUAUUGCACGAUGGGCGGAAGCCUGAUGCAGCAACGCCGCGUGCGGGAUGACGGCCUUCGGGUUGUAAACCGCUUUCGCCUGUGACGAAGCGUGAGUGACGGUAAUGGGUAAAGAAGCACCGGCUAACUACGUG
RNAcentral lists this ribosomal RNA (468 nucleotides) under uncultured bacterium. Its description in RNAcentral is "partial 16S ribosomal RNA". It matches the Rfam family "Bacterial small subunit ribosomal RNA", at positions 28 to 507 of the family's 1533-position model. The record is from RNAcentral.